Cucumis melo (muskmelon) is the source of this 431-nucleotide long non-coding RNA. RefSeq lists it as uncharacterized. Lineage: Eukaryota; Viridiplantae; Streptophyta; Magnoliopsida; Cucurbitales; Cucurbitaceae. The transcript has 3 exons. The record is from RefSeq and is a predicted model, not a curated record.
AAAUGGAAGUGGGGUCAGUUGAAAGAAUGAAAUUAAAAGAAAUGAAGAAGCGAGAAAGAUCUGAAUUAAAAAAAGAUCGAAGACGAAGAGGAUAAAACAACCAGAAGAAGUUAAAAGAAAGGGAAAAGAAGUUAUGGAUCAAGAAGACAAGGAUCAUAGUAACGAGAUGGAAGAUACUGAAAAUAAUAUAGAAGAAAAAGAGCAAAAAGAAAGCAAGAAAGAGAUUGGGAACAACCAGAAAGCCAUGGAGAAAUCAUUUCAAAACCAACCUUGAAGGCAAGAGUUAAAAAAGACCUUGAAAGAUCAAGGAAGACUAAACAUGGUUCAAAAAAAGUUAUCAGUAUUGGAGAAAGAAUUGAGGUUUGUAAUAACCCUCUAUUAUAAGUAAUAUUUUUUGGAAAUAUUUUUUAGUUAAUUGUAUUGAGGGUGGU